RNAcentral lists this ribosomal RNA (1972 nucleotides) under freshwater metagenome. Its description in RNAcentral is "bacterial LSU rRNA". The stretch from base 607 to 1967 matches the Rfam family "Bacterial large subunit ribosomal RNA", at positions 567 to 2044 of the family's 2925-position model. The record is from RNAcentral.
UUUUAGAUUUUGAAGCGGCAAUAAGUAACAACGACCAAAAUUUAUAUUCGAAUUUAGACGACAAUAACAACAAAGGUUUUGCUGGAAAAUUCAAUGGAAAACAACGCCUUUUUGACGGAAAAACCAAGAUUGAUGCGUUUGCCAAUUAUCAGUUGGUACAAGAAAAUUUCAAAACCAUUGAACGUUUGUACAACAUUGAAUUUAAUAGAGAUUGGAACAUCACUUCUACUUUUUUGGGGAAUCAAAGUUUUUUAACUUCGGGAUUGGAUUUUAAUUUCAAUAACAAAGGAAAAGCGAUUUAUCAAUUUGAAAAUUUAGCUUUUGGCGAUGCUUUUUUGGGAAACAAACACACUUUAACAGGAAGAUAUGCUACCAAAAAAUGGAUGAUUUGGAGUAAUUCGAGCAUAAUGAAAAACGAUUCUGAACUUUCAAAUUCGUCUUUUGCUAGAAGUCAAAAUCGUUCGUCGUAUAAAUUGGGUAAAAAUUGGGUUGGUGCUACAGUAAAUUUGGAAGAUAAUUCUGAUAAACUGAAGGCAACCAAUACAUUUUCGGCCUUGAGCCAACGUUUUUUAGAAUAUGGCGCAUUUGUGGGAAGAGGGAAGAGCUCAAUCUUAAAAUCGGCCUGUGCGAGAGCAUGGUCGAAUUGUAGUCUAGAGGGGUAGUGCCUAGCUGAAGUGGCAAGGGGAAUUCCCAUUGUUAGGUGUAGGCGCAGCGAAAGCGAGUCUGAAUAGGGCGAAUAAGUACGUCGCAUGACGACCCGAAACCAGGUGAUCUAUCCAUGAGCAGGUUGAAGGCUGGGUAACACCAGCUGGAGGACCGAACCCGUGAAUGUUGAAAAAUUCUGGGAUGACUUGUGGAUAGGGGUGAAAGGCCAAUCAAACCUGGACAUAGCUGGUUCUCCGCGAAAUCUAUUUAGGUAGAGCGUCAGACGAAUUCCUUGGGGGGUAGAGCACUGGAUGGAUGCGGGCGGCGCGAGCUGUACCAAUUCUAACCAAACUCCGAAUACCCAAGAGAACUAUCUGGCAGACACACGGCGGGUGCUAACGUCCGUCGUGAAAAGGGAAACAACCCUAACCAUCAUCUAAGGCCCCCAAGUAACGGCUAAGUGGGAAACGAUGUGGGAUUGCUUUGACAACCAGGAUGUUGGCUUAGAAGCAGCCAUCAUUUAAAGAAAGCGUAACAGCUCACUGGUCAAGCGAUCCUGCGCGGAAAAUGUAACGGGGCUUAAGCCGUUCGCCGAAGGUAUGGGUGUGCGUAAGCACGCGGUAGCGGAGCGUUCCGUAAGCCUGUGAAGGUCAGUCGUGAGGCUGGCUGGAGGUAUCGGAAGUGAGAAUGCUGACAUGAGUAGCGACAAAGAGUGUGAGAGACACUCUCGCCGAAAGUCCAAGGGUUCCUGCGUAAAGUUAAUCUGCGCAGGGUUAGCCGGCCCCUAAGGCGAGGCCGAAAGGCGUAGUCGAUGGGAACCAGGUGAAUAUUCCUGGGCCAGCUGGAAGUGACGAAUUCCGUAAAUUGUCGGGGCUUACUGGAUUGCUCCCGGCAGUGAAGGGGUUCCUGGAAAUAACUCCAGCGGAGACCGUACCCGAAACCGACACAGGUGGACUGGUAGAGCAUACCAAGGCGCUUGAGAGAACUAUGCUGAAGGAACUCGGCAAAUUGCACGCGUAACUUCGGGAUAAGCGUGACUCUGCUUAGGGCAACCUUUGUAGAGUGGCACAGGCCAGGGGGUAGCGACUGUUUAUCAAAAACACAGGGCUCUGCGAAGCCGCAAGGCGACGUAUAGGGUCUGACGCCUGCCCGGUGCCGGAAGGUUAAAAGGAGGGGUGCAAGCUCCGAAUUGAAGCCCCGGUAAACGGCGGCCGUAACUAUAACGGUCCUAAGGUAGCGAAAUUCCUUGUCGGGUAAGUUCCGACCUGCACGAAUGGCGUAACGACUUCCCCACUGUCUCCAGGAUAUGCUCAGCGAAAUUGAAUUC